RNAcentral lists this long non-coding RNA (559 nucleotides) under Coturnix japonica (Japanese quail). RNAcentral describes it as "lncRNA (ENSCJPG00005017498.1)". Lineage: Eukaryota; Metazoa; Chordata; Aves; Galliformes; Phasianidae. The record is from RNAcentral.
AUGGUACACGUUCCUAGACAGAGAAGUAUUGUACAACGUGAAUAUAGCUGCUGCAAUGCUGAUGGAUUUUUUCCAGAGUGGAUCAAAAGGAAGAAUUUUGGCCACAAAGGGUCAGGUCUGUCUUGGAGAACUCAUCCCCACAGAAGCAAGAGGGAGGCUGCGCCAGUAACUCCUGUGGGAGGUCUAGCUGGGAAGCCAUCUUUGGCAGCACAGCCCUACCCCAGGAUUUCAGCCCAUCACAAGGACUAGCUCGGCUCCUGCCUCUAGUGCUUCAGUCUGCUUGAAAACUCAGACAUCAAUAAGGCAGUUAAGGUAGGUGAUAUCGUUAGGUAUUAUUUACCUGUUAAGGUUAAGGCACAUCUUCCUUUUCUGUGAAAAUCAAACUCCUUUUGUCAGCAUAAAGCUUUAGGAACUGUGAGAUCUACAGUCACCAGAGUUCUACAAUGCUUGUGCUUUUAUCUUGGUACAGUUUAGUACAGAGGCCUCGCAGACAUCUAAAAACAUUUCAAUAUAAAUUUAUAAUUAAUUUUAUUUGCUAUUGCAAUAUAAUGUCAAUAAU